Molecule: ribosomal RNA, 402 nt
Filed under: uncultured prokaryote
Description: bacterial SSU rRNA
Rfam family: Bacterial small subunit ribosomal RNA
Source: RNAcentral
UGGGGAAUAUUGGACAAUGGGCGAAAGCCUGAUCCAGCCAUGCCGCGUGAGUGAUGAAGGCCCUAGGGUUGUAAAGCUCUUUCGACGGGGAAGAUAAUGACGGUACCCGUAGAAGAAGCCCCGGCUAACUUCGUGCCAGCAGCCGCGGUAAUACGAAGGGGGCUAGCGUUGCUCGGAAUUACUGGGCGUAAAGCGCACGUAGGCGGGUCGUUAAGUCGGGGGUGAAAUCCUGGAGCUCAACUCCAGAACUGCCUUCGAUACUGGCGAUCUCGAGUCCGGGAGAGGUGAGUGGAACUCCGAGUGUAGAGGUGAAAUUCGUAGAUAUUCGGAAGAACACCAGUGGCGAAGGCGGCUCACUGGCCCGGUACUGACGCUGAGGUGCGAAAGCGUGGGGAGCAAACA